Small nuclear RNA from Sorex araneus (European shrew), 135 nucleotides. The record is from Ensembl. NCBI's taxonomy places the organism in Eukaryota, Metazoa, Chordata, Mammalia, Eulipotyphla, Soricidae.
AAAAAUCCCUUCUGCAGUGAGUGGCACACAUAGGGCAGCUCACUUGCUCUUCAUGCAGAAACAACAUCAAAAGAUUUUGAAAACAGAAUUUUUUGACAGUAGGGCAGCUAGUGACAGUUGGGUUCUGGUGCUCCC